AGUGAACGCUGGCGGUAGGCCUAACACAUGCAAGUCGAACGGCAGCACAGUAAGAGCUUGCUCUUACGGGUGGCGAGUGGCGGACGGGUGAGGAAUACAUCGGAAUCUACUUUUUCGUGGGGGAUAACGUAGGGAAACUUACGCUAAUACCGCAUACGACCUACGGGUGAAAGCAGGGGAUCUUCGGACCUUGCGCGAUUGAAUGAGCCGAUGUCGGAUUAGCUAGUUGGCGGGGUAAAGGCCCACCAAGGCGACGAUCCGUAGCUGGUCUGAGAGGAUGGUCGCCCACAUUGGAACUGAGACGCGGUCCAGACUCCUACGGGAGGCAGCAGUGGGGAAUAUUGGACAAUGGGCGCAAGCCUGAUCCAGCCAUACCGCGUGGGUGAAGAAGGCCUUCGGGUUGUAAAGCCCUUUUGUUGGGAAAGAAAAGCAGCAGGUUAAUACCCCGCUGUUCUGACGGUACCCAAAGAAUAAGCACCGGCUAACUUCGUG
This 492-nucleotide ribosomal RNA is filed under the name uncultured bacterium. RNAcentral's name for it is "partial 16S ribosomal RNA". It matches the Rfam family "Bacterial small subunit ribosomal RNA", at positions 29 to 507 of the family's 1533-position model. The record is from RNAcentral.